CCUACGGGUGGCAGCAGUGAGGAAUAUUGGUCAAUGGACGAGAGUCUGAACCAGCCAAGUAGCGUGAAGGAUGACUGCCCUAUGGGUUGUAAACCUCUUUUAUAAAGGAAUAAAACGAGGCACGUGUGCCUUUUUGCAUGUACUUUAUGAAUAAGGAUCGGCUAACUCCGUGCCAGCAGCCGCGGUAAUACGUAGGGUGCGAGCGUUAUCCGGAUUUAUUGGGUGUAAAGGGAGCGGAGACGGCGAUGCAAGUCUGGAGUGAAAGGCGGGGGCCCAAACCCCGGACUGCAUUGGAAACUGUAUGGCUGGAGUGCGGGAGAGGUAAGUGGAAUUCGUGGUGUAGCGGUGAAAUGCGUAGAUAUUAGGAGGAACUCCAGUGGCGAAGGCGGCUUACUGGACUGUAACUGACGUUGAGGCUCGAAAGCGUGGGUAGCGAACAGGAUUAGAUACCCUAGUAGUC
RNAcentral lists this ribosomal RNA (460 nucleotides) under uncultured bacterium. Its description in RNAcentral is "partial 16S ribosomal RNA". It matches the Rfam family "Bacterial small subunit ribosomal RNA", at positions 338 to 795 of the family's 1533-position model. The record is from RNAcentral.